CCCACUUCACAGGUUUAGACUAUAACUAUAGAUUAGAUUCUUCAUCUUGGCAGUGACAGUAUGUUGUAACACACACACAUUGAGAGACAACCUUCUGGCAGACGACGUGUGUGGUUUUGAAAGCGGGUCACGGUGAGGUCAAUUAAGGAGACGUCUAAACAUGCUGUGGGGUUCAUCCCCACGGAGCCGGGGAACGUUUUCACACCUCCACUGAAGGACGAGCGCCAGGAGACGGAGAAGCUGGAAGGACAUGCGUGAUGAAGGAUACGAGGUGUGAAGGUAAUUAAACGCCACACAGACACUUCAGCCUCCAUGCCGGUUUAUUCGGAGUGACAGCAGAGCGAUGGAGCGAGCGACAGAGUGAUAGAACAGCAGCAGCUGGAUGAGUGUCAGGAAAAGAGACAAAAGGAAAAUAUUCCUCCUUCUCUGUGAAGGUUUUCGUUCACUCUGUCAUUCACACCUCUGACAUGUGACCUUAAUAACUUUUAGCCAUGAAAGUCAUGAAAAGUGUGGAGAAAAUUCACAUGGUGUGUGUGUGUGUGUGUGUGUGUGUGUGUGUGUGUGUGUGUGUGUGUGUGUGUUACCACUCUGAAGUUUACAGUGUUUUAUAGCCCCUAUUAUAUUUAUAUAUAUAUAUUUUUUUUAAUUAUAUUUUUUAACUGUUUUAUGAUAUUUCUGUUCAGAAACUCAGCUUGUGUCACGUUUUAGAGAAACGACAAAAGAAUCUAAAAACACCUCUUACAUGAAGUUAUGAAGUUAUCUCUCUGAAUGUUACCAGGCACUGGCACUGGAGACUCCUUUCAUAAAACAUCAGCAAACUUCAACACAUCUACACUGUGAUCAAUCUGUUGCUAUGGAAACGGUAACAUAUCAGAUCAUGUGCAUUAAAACACAAACGUGCACCGCUGUCAGUGCUGCAGUUCCAGACGACUAAUCAACACCUGCCCAAUCACAGUCCAGAUGUGUGUGAGAAUGAUAAUAAAAUAAGAGUCUAUUUGUGUGUUUCUGGUUGUUCCUGAUGAAAGCAGGAGAUCGGCGGCGCUCGUUUCGAAGUUCUUGGCCUUUAAAUGUGAUUAGAGUGUAAUUCGGUUUCCUCUCCCACGGCACAUGUUUCAGCCCAGAAAUGAAUUUAAAGAUGAUAUUUUUACUUCUCCCUCCUCCGCACAACGCAGUAACCAUGGUUACCGAAGGAGAUUUUGCUGAUAUGACUU
Molecule: long non-coding RNA, 1211 nt
Organism: Silurus meridionalis
Lineage: Eukaryota; Metazoa; Chordata; Actinopteri; Siluriformes; Siluridae
Exons: 3
Source: RefSeq, a predicted model, not a curated record